AUCAGCUAGUUGGUGAGGUAAUAGGCUACACCAAGGCGAAGACGGGUAGCUGGUCUGAGAGGAUGAUCAGCCACACUGGAACUGAGACACGGUCCAGACUCCUACGGGAGGCAGCAGUGGGAAGUAUUGCGCAAUGGGCGAAAGCCUGACGCAGCCACGCCGCGUGAGCGAUGAAGGUCUUCGGAUCGUAAAGCUCUGGUGGGGGAGAAGAAGAAAGUCGGUGAAGAGCCGGCCCUGACGGUAUCCCCUUAGCAAGCACCGGCUAACUCCGUGCCAGCAGCCGCGGUAAUACGGAGGGUGCAAACGUUGCUCGGAAUCAUUGGGCGUAAAGCGCGCGUAGGCGGCUGAACAAGUUGGAUGUGAAAGCCCCUGGGCUCAACCUAGGAUGUGCAUUCAAAACUGUUCGGCUUGAGUCUCGGAGGGGGUCAGAGAAUUCUCGGUGUAGAGGUGAAAUUCGUAGAUAUCGGGA
RNAcentral lists this ribosomal RNA (469 nucleotides) under uncultured bacterium. RNAcentral's name for it is "bacterial SSU rRNA". It matches the Rfam family "Bacterial small subunit ribosomal RNA", at positions 240 to 702 of the family's 1533-position model. The record is from RNAcentral.